UAGUGUUACAGCUCUUUUGGAAUUUGUCUAGCAGGUUUUCUGGUUUUUUUCUGGACAAUCCCC
This 63-nucleotide small nuclear RNA is filed under the name Echinops telfairi (small Madagascar hedgehog). RNAcentral's name for it is "U7 small nuclear RNA (ENSETEG00000020953.1)". It matches the Rfam family "U7 small nuclear RNA". From Rfam's summary of the family: Animal histone pre-mRNAs are spliced by a different mechanism than nuclear pre-mRNAs and self-splicing introns. Lineage: Eukaryota; Metazoa; Chordata; Mammalia; Afrosoricida; Tenrecidae. The record is from RNAcentral.